AUACGUAGGGUGCGAGCGUUGUCCGGAAUUACUGGGUGUAAAGAGCUCGUAGGUGGUUUGUCGCGCCGUCUGUGAAAUUCCGGGGCUUAUCUCCGGGCGUGCAGGCGAUACGGGCAUAACUUGAGUACUGUAGGGGAGACUGGAAUUCCUGGUGUAGCGGUGAAAUGCGCAGAUAUCAGGAGGAACGCCGGUGGCGAGGGCGGGUCUCGGGGCAGUAACUGACUCUGAGGAGCGAAAGCAUGGGUAGCGAACAGGAUUGGAUACCCUGGUAGUACAUGCCGUAAACGGUGGUCGCUAGGUGUAGGGGUCUUCCACGACUUCUGUACCGUAGCUAACGCAUUAAGCGCCCCGCCUGGGGAGUACGGCCGCAAGGCUAAAACUCAAAGGAAUUGACGGGG
Molecule: ribosomal RNA, 398 nt
Filed under: uncultured bacterium
Lineage: Bacteria
Description: partial 16S ribosomal RNA
Rfam family: Bacterial small subunit ribosomal RNA
Source: RNAcentral